ACUCAAAGGAAUUGACGGGGGCUCACACAAGCGGUGGAGCAUGUGGUUCAAUUCGAAGCAACGCGCAGAACCUUACCUGGGCUUGACAUGCUAGGAUUAUCCGGAUGAAAGUUCGGUAGGCCUCGCAAGAGGUACAACUAGUACAGGUGCUGCAUGGCUGUCGUCAGCUCGUGUCGUGAGAUGUCGGGUUAAGUCCCUUAACGAGCGAAACCUUUGCCCUUAGUUGCCAACGAGUAAUGUCGGGGACUCUAAGGGGACUGCCGGUGUCAAACCGGAGGAAGGUGGAGAUGACGUCAAGUCCUCAUGGCCUUUAUGCCCAGGGCCACACACGUGCUACAAUGGGGUGCACAAAGCGAACCAAAACAGCGAUGUCGAGGAAAUCGCAAAAAUCACCCCCCAGUUCAGAUCGGAGGCUGCAACUCGCCUCCGUGAAGUUGGAAUCGCUAGUAAUCGCGGAUCAGCUACGCCGCGGUGAAUAUGUUCCUGAGCCUUGUACACACCGCCCGU
RNAcentral lists this ribosomal RNA (507 nucleotides) under uncultured bacterium. Its description in RNAcentral is "partial 16S ribosomal RNA". It matches the Rfam family "Bacterial small subunit ribosomal RNA", at positions 899 to 1397 of the family's 1533-position model. The record is from RNAcentral.